UACGUAGGGGGCAAGCGUUGUCCGGAUUUACUGGGUGUAAAGGGCGCGUAGGCGGACUAUUAAGUCAGAGGUGAAAUCCUGCAGCUUAACUGCAGAACUGCCUUUGAUACUGAUGGUCUUGAGUUCGAAAGAGAGAGAUGGAAUUCCGGGUGUAGUAGUGAAAUACGUAGAUAUCCGGAGGAACACCGGAGGCGAAGGCGAUCUCUUGGUUCGAUACUGACGCUGAGGCGCGAAAGCGUGGGGAUCAAACAGGAUUAGAUACCCUGGUAGUCCACGCUGUAAACGAUGAAUACUAGGUGUUGGGAGAUACUCUCAGUGCCGCAGCAAACGCAUUAAGUAUUCCACCUGGGGAGUACGAUCGCAAGGUUGAA
Molecule: ribosomal RNA, 371 nt
Filed under: uncultured bacterium
Lineage: Bacteria
Description: bacterial SSU rRNA
Rfam family: Bacterial small subunit ribosomal RNA
Source: RNAcentral